RNAcentral lists this ribosomal RNA (254 nucleotides) under uncultured bacterium. RNAcentral's name for it is "partial 16S ribosomal RNA". It matches the Rfam family "Bacterial small subunit ribosomal RNA", at positions 524 to 776 of the family's 1533-position model. The record is from RNAcentral.
GACGAACCGUGCGAACGUUAUUCGGAAUCACUGGGCUUAAAGCGCGUGUAGGCGGGCCGCCACGUCGGGCGCUGAAAUCCCCCGGCUCAACCGGGGAAGUGGCACCGAUACGAGCGGCCUGGAGGGGAGUAGGGGGGCCUGGAACUUCCGGUGGAGCGGUGAAAUGCGUUGAGAUCGGAAGGAACGCCCGUGGCGAAAGCGAGGCCCUGGACUCUUUCUGACGCUGAGACGCGAAAGCCAGGGGAGCGAACGGG